GAAUGGAGAGGAGACAGAGGUACCAUCAUGUUAUAAUACUGCUGAAUGGAGAGGAGACAGAGGUCCCAUCAUGUUAUAAUACUGCUGAAUGGAGAGGAGACAGAGG
Molecule: long non-coding RNA, 106 nt
Organism: Oncorhynchus tshawytscha (Chinook salmon)
Lineage: Eukaryota; Metazoa; Chordata; Actinopteri; Salmoniformes; Salmonidae
Exons: 3
Source: RefSeq, a predicted model, not a curated record